GUAGGGGGCAAGCGUUAUCCGGACUUACUGGGUGUAAAGGGAGCGCAGGCGGUGCGGCAAGUCUGAUGUGAAAGCCCGGGGCUCAACCCCGGUACUGCAUUGGAAACUGUCGUACUAGAGUGUCGGAGGGGUAAGCGGAAUUCCUAGUGUAGCGGUGAAAUGCGUAGAUAUUAGGAGGAACACCAGUGGCGAAGGCGGCUUACUGGACGAUAACUGACGCUGAGGCUCGAAAGCGUGGGGAGCAAACAGGAUUAGAUACCCUGGUAGUCCACGCCGGAAACGAUGAAUACUAGGUGUUGGGAAGCAUUGCUUCUCGGUGCCGUCGCAAACGCAGUAAGUAUUCCACCUGGGGAGUACGUUCGCAAGAAUG
Molecule: ribosomal RNA, 370 nt
Filed under: uncultured bacterium
Lineage: Bacteria
Description: bacterial SSU rRNA
Rfam family: Bacterial small subunit ribosomal RNA
Source: RNAcentral